This 246-nucleotide signal recognition particle RNA is filed under the name Desulfobacterales bacterium. Its description in RNAcentral is "signal recognition particle sRNA large type". It matches the Rfam family "Bacterial large signal recognition particle RNA". Rfam says of the family: The signal recognition particle (SRP) is a universally conserved ribonucleoprotein involved in the co-translational targeting of proteins to membranes. Archaeal SRP consists of a 7S RNA and homologues of the eukaryotic SRP19 and SRP54 proteins. The record is from RNAcentral. Lineage: Bacteria; Pseudomonadati; Thermodesulfobacteriota; Desulfobacteria; Desulfobacterales.
UUGUGCUAGGCGGGGAGCUAGCGGUGCCCUGUACCCGAAAUCCGCUAUACGCGGGGCUGAAUCCCCCCUGAAGGGUUCGAAUUGAAGAUGUCGGUGUCAUUUUGAUCGGCCGCCAUGCAACAGGCUCCCAUGAACCUCGUCAGGUCCGGGAGGAAGCAGCGAUAAGUGGCGCAGUCUGUGUCGUGGAUCGAUCCCGAUCUUUUGGAUGACCUGUUUUUUCAUGAAAACUCGACAGGGGGUGCACAA